This 971-nucleotide long non-coding RNA is filed under the name Nothobranchius furzeri (turquoise killifish). Its description in RNAcentral is "lncRNA (ENSNFUG00015002233.1)". The record is from RNAcentral. Lineage: Eukaryota; Metazoa; Chordata; Actinopteri; Cyprinodontiformes; Nothobranchiidae.
UUUGUUUUCCUGUAGGUGGCCUGGAGGAAGUGUUUGCUGCUGUGGGUGAGUCAGUGUCACUCACUUGCACUUCCUCUCUCAGUUCUGGAGGCAACACAGAGUGGACUGUGAACAAAACACCACUGAGAAACAUGUCAUCUGAAACCAGCCCAACAAAAGCAUUUCACCUGGAUGAAGACUCAUCGUUGGUGAUCAGUAAACUGAGUCCUCUGAAUGCAGGAGAAUAUCAGUGUACUGAGUCCACCGGCCUGCAAAGAGUCCUCAACAAAAUCAGGCUGCACACACUCGAUGGUAAGGGUCAAGACUGCUAAAUGGAUCCAGAAACCAUCAUCAGAUCGCCAAAUUAUCCCUGUUGAUUUUUUAACAUUACAGUUACGGCAGAGUCCACGUCAGCAGGAGUGAAGCUCACCUGUGUGCUAACUUGUGCUGAACAAUGUGAAGAAAACUUUAACCUAAGCUGGUCUGGAACCAGUCGAGAAGGUUGGCAGAGCAGAUCAACGACUGUCAAUAAAACACUGAUCAGCAUGAUGCUUCUCACAGUUUGGCCUCAAAGCUCAGAUGAAUUCAUUUGUUCAGUGAAGAGAGAAGGUUCAACCAUGGCCCUGAAGGAGUGGCACGCUGAUUUCUGUAUGGAUUAUUAAUGGAUUUCAUCAUUUGUUAAACUUUCUAAAAUAAGUGCAUUUUGCCCUGUUCCUGUAAGAAGGAGCAAAGGUAAUGAGGUGUUUCUUCUCCUCAGCUCUGCAGACACUUAUCAGGUUAUGUGUCCAUCUUGUCCUCCUGAUGGGUGCAGCUGCAGGAGGACUGUACACACACAUGAAGUGGAAGCAGAGGAAGGCUGCAGGUACAGGAUCUGGUCAAAGCAACAGAACACAACAAUAUUGAAAUGGAACUUCUCGUCCACCAGCCAGCCUCCAUCAUCAAGAAAUAGACUCAUCGGAUUCAAACCCUGCCUGCCAGCCCCGUCGCUCGCC